Long non-coding RNA from Lycium barbarum (goji berry), 743 nucleotides. RefSeq lists it as uncharacterized. The record is from RefSeq and is a predicted model, not a curated record. The transcript has 3 exons. NCBI's taxonomy places the organism in Eukaryota, Viridiplantae, Streptophyta, Magnoliopsida, Solanales, Solanaceae.
UCAAAGAAGAGAGGAGAGAAGAGAGGCACGGCCAAAGGAGAGAAAAAAAAAAUUCCAAGCCUUCAACUUUGAUUCAAGAAUUAUAAUUUCCUUGUAUUCCUACUAAGUUCAAGAUUCUCUACAAAGUGGUAUAAUUAUUUUGGCAAGAAAGUGACUUUGGUGGCAAGGAGAACUUAUUGGAAAAAGAUUUUGGGCGAAACGGGAAUUGAAUUUGAGCGAGCGUAAGGCGCAACUAAGGUACAGACUCACGUUUUGGUGACCCACUGGCGUAGGAUUUUCAUUCUGCGGUUCGGAGUGCUCCCUUUGUUCCGGAGCCGACAUUUUGGGUACAUACUCUUCCGAUGUAUAUGUUUAUGUUUAUUCAGGGUACGGCGGGGCCCUGUCUCGCCAUCUGAUUCUGUUGUUCCGUAUUAGAGGUCUAUAGACGUAGACGUGGGUAAUGUACAGUUUUGUUUGGACGCGUUGUGUGAAUUGUGUUUGGGCGGCCCAUCCACCGUGGCAGCCCUAUCGGCCGCGUGUAUGUAUGCUUUGGUACGUUAUGUAUAGUAUGAUAGCCUUGCCAGCUUCCAUGCAGUAUAUAUGGUUGUAGGCACCAGUGUGGAGCCAUGUCUGAUAUUCAUUUAUAUACGAGUCGUCUGUAUGUUGAAUCUGGUAAAUGAGCGCGUAGGGGUGCCCAGUUCGGGCACUAGUCACGGCCUACGGGGAUGGGUCGUGACAUUCAAGUACAUUCUUCUGCGCCUGUG